GUUAGGUUAAAAAAGUACUGUCAUAUGUAGUUUUGCAAUUGAAUUUCGACAGAGCGACAGUAUUUCUUUCAUCCAGCAAAAAGAAGAUUGGUAAUGGAAUAUCGUCAACGAGAAAACAAAGAUAGAAUACGCACUCCUUCUAGUCCUUCAAGAGUGGCAUUGUAUAGUCCUUAGUGCACUCAGGAAUCCUUCACCAAAGAUUUAACAGCUGAAUGUCCUGAAUAGGAGCACGUUUCCUAUGACAUUAAUAUGCAGAGAAGCAUUUUGUGAAAGCAGUGACAAAACCCUUUAAAGGUAUCUAAAGGCGACUUGGCCAAAAAUCCUGGCAGAAUCCAGCCUAGCUACGGAUCUGAAAUGGAGUACUGGGUACGGCUCAACAGACCCUCAUGAACAUGAUCCAAAGUUGUAGUGAGGACGGAACCUUUUUGGGAAAGCAUGGCCUAUAUUUCAUUUAAUUUCAUCCGUUUGUCUUUUGAUUAAAUCAUGUUAAUGAUACGUAA
Long non-coding RNA from Mytilus trossulus (common blue mussel), 500 nucleotides. RefSeq lists it as uncharacterized. NCBI's taxonomy places the organism in Eukaryota, Metazoa, Mollusca, Bivalvia, Mytilida, Mytilidae. The transcript is spliced from 3 exons. The record is from RefSeq and is a predicted model, not a curated record.